Molecule: ribosomal RNA, 253 nt
Filed under: uncultured bacterium
Lineage: Bacteria
Description: partial 16S ribosomal RNA
Rfam family: Bacterial small subunit ribosomal RNA
Source: RNAcentral
UACGUAGGGUGCGAGCGUUGUCCGGAAUUAUUGGGCGUAAAGAGCUCGUAGGCGGUUUGUCGCGUCGGCCGUGAAAACUUGGGGCUUAACCCCAAGCUUGCGGUCGAUACGGGCAGACUUGAGUUCGGCAGGGGAGACUGGAAUUCCUGGUGUAGCGGUGAAAUGCGCAGAUAUCAGGAGGAACACCGGUGGCGAAGGCGGGUCACUGGCCCGUUUCUGACGCUGUAGCGCGAAAGCGUGGGGAUCAAACAGG